CUGGCGGCGUGCUAACACAUGCAAGUCGAACGGGAAAACAGGGGCAACUCUGUGAGUACAGUGGCGUACGGGUGAGUAACACGUGACUACCUACCUUUGAGUGGGGGAUAACCCCGGGAAACCGGGGCUAAUACCGCAUAACAUCGCAAGAUCAAAGGAGCAAUCCGCUUAAAGAGGGGGUCGCGGCUGAUUAGCUAGUUGGUGAGGUAACGGCUCACCAAGGCGAUGAUCGGUAGCCGGCCUGAGAGGGCGCACGGCCACACUGGAACUGAAACACGGUCCAGACUCCUACGGGAGGCAGCAGUGGGGAAUUUUGCGCAAUGGGGGAAACCCUGACGCAGCAACGCCGCGUGGAGGAUGAAGUCCCUUGGGACGUAAACUCCUUUCGACCCGGACGAUAAUGACGGUACGGGUGGAAGAAGCACCGGCUAACUUCGUGCCAGCAGCCGCGGUAAUACGAGGGGUGCAAGCGUUGUUCGGAAUUAUUGGGCGUAAAGGGCGCGUAGGCGGCGCGGUAAGUCACCUGUGAAAUCUCCCGGCUCAACUGGGAGCCUGCAGGCGAAACUGCCGUGCUGGAGUAUGGGAGAGGUGCGUGGAAUUCCCGGUGUAC
RNAcentral lists this ribosomal RNA (610 nucleotides) under uncultured bacterium. RNAcentral's name for it is "bacterial SSU rRNA". It matches the Rfam family "Bacterial small subunit ribosomal RNA", at positions 36 to 678 of the family's 1533-position model. The record is from RNAcentral.